CUUGGCUUCUUACACAGCACACAAACAGGACAGAAGACAAGCCACUCAACAAACAAGGUUCUGUGGCUGUGAAGAAACUAUAGCCCUUCCAGGAUGAGUCAGCCCAACCAUCAGGAGCUCCGCCCUUUGGCUGAAUCUACCAAAGCAAGAAACUGGAGGCAACUUUGAUUGCUUGGUAACUUUAGCUAAAAAAGAUGGAAACAUAUGCAACCAUACAUCUGGGCAAAAAAAAAAAAAAAAAAAAUUGGUAUCUCUCUUCACCCUUAGAAGAAAGGAAUCAUUGUAUAUUCAGAGAGGCCAUCAAGAAUGUAUUAUGAUUCCCUGUGUACACAGAGAUCCAUACAUUCAACAAAUGCGUAUUAGAUGGAUA
Molecule: long non-coding RNA, 370 nt
Organism: Callorhinus ursinus (northern fur seal)
Lineage: Eukaryota; Metazoa; Chordata; Mammalia; Carnivora; Otariidae
Source: RefSeq, a predicted model, not a curated record